AUGAUAAUUUGGUUUGAGUCUUUCUGAUGGUGGUCAGGUUGGCCGGCCAAAGUCGGACCUGAUCAUUUAUUGGUCCAAUUCACCAAAUCAAAUCAUGUUAAUGGUUGGACCUAACCAAAUCUUUUCAGUGGAGGCCAAAGCCUACUGAUUAGGUUCUGGGGCAAAAUCAAUUACUAGAAGUUAUUUAGAGAAACAACUGGUUAUGAACCUACCCAUAGAUGCACAUAGGUUGACCAACCAAAGUUGGGCUCGUGUGUAGUCUGUGUGGAUUCUAGUAUCCACUAAAGAAUUAAAGUAAUUCCUUGAAUUGGAGGUUGAGGCUACCAGUUCAUAAAAAUAUUAGGAGAAACUUUAGACUAA
This 360-nucleotide long non-coding RNA is filed under the name Elaeis guineensis (African oil palm). RNAcentral's name for it is "long non-coding RNA (EGUI_LNC066762)". The record is from RNAcentral. Lineage: Eukaryota; Viridiplantae; Streptophyta; Magnoliopsida; Arecales; Arecaceae.